GCAAAGAUUCCUCUCUCCGUCUGUCUGCAUAGUUCUUUCUUCAUUCUGGAGUGCUCAGUGUCACUACCCUUAGUGAGAGUGAACAUUUGCCCAGUUCCAGGGUAAAUUCAAGGUGGGUCUGGGAUGAGCAGUUUGGAACUACUAAUUGGAUGAGGAUUGACAAUGUUGCUUUCAAUGGGAUCCUGAACCUAAUGUAUCACACACUGUUUAUAAGUUCUGGCAAAAGUUUGUCAGCCUGGAGGUGGUUUCAGCUCAUGAGAUAUACUUCAGUUUUCCCUUGUCUAAAACACUGACUCAUUCUAUGAAUUCGCAACUGGCACUUUUCCCCCUGUGGCCUCUCUGUUGAUCCAUUUCCGCUAACCAAUACACGGUUUCCACAUGGCAUAUUUUUUCCCUUUUGACAAAAAUUUGCAACCGAACCUUCCUAUGAGAGACUAUAUAUGUGAACUACUCCAAAGGGCUUAUGGAAAGCUAAAUUGGGACUGUUUUUCUUAGCACAUCAGUUUGUAUGAUAAGGGGUGAAAGAAAAAAAAAAAAGCAAAAGGCAAACUUUUGUUUGGAUUCAAAUGUCAUCUUUGCCUGUGCCACAUUUAUUUUUAUUUCCUCUCUGACAAGAAUGUUAACUUUCCAGGAAAACUCAACUUCUCUAAGAGAACAGCCAACACAAACAAUUUUUUUAAGGUGUGAUUUUCGUUGAGGCUGUGAUUUUAUCGUUUGGAGCAAAUGGUGAAUUGGGAGAAAAAAAAAAGCUUGGAGUGUACAUUUCCUUUACUAAGACAUCAGAUUGAAUCAUGCUUUGGGUAUUUUGGCUAUAGUGUUUUCCAGUCCUUUGCCUCUCAGGAGACCCUAAUGUGAAACAAAAUGGAAAACUCUAUUCGCAUUCUCUUUGGGUGAGAUCUCCAGGGACUCGGAGGAGGCGAGAGAAACUUUCGCUUGCUCACGACGUAUUCUACACAGAUGUUGUCCCUGAAAAUAUUUGCAUUGGCAGCUUUUUAUAUUGGUACAAGGUGGAUUAUCUGAAAAGAAAUAAUCUUUUUCCCUUCCCAAAAUGCAAAGAUUUCUCUAUUCAAGUAGGAUAUUCUCAAAACAAAUUAGUUUUUUAAAAUUCAAAAUAGUCAGCUAUAUCAUAUAAGUAGCUGAAUUCCCUCAUAUUUGCCC
Molecule: long non-coding RNA, 1158 nt
Filed under: Homo sapiens (human)
Lineage: Eukaryota; Metazoa; Chordata; Mammalia; Primates; Hominidae
Description: HSALNT0097347
Source: RNAcentral